CAGCCGCCGCGGGAAUACAGAGGGUGCGAGCGUUAAUCCGAUUUACUGGGCGUAAAGCGUGCGUAGGCGGCUUCUUAAGUCGGAUGUGAAAUCCCUGAGCUUAACUUAGGAAUUGCAUUCGAUACUGGGAAGCUAGAGUAUGGGAGAGGAUGGUAGAAUUCCAGGUGUAGCGGUGAAAUGCGUAGAGAUCUGGAGGAAUACCGAUGGCGAAGGCAGCCAUCUGGCCUAAUACUGACGCUGAGGUACGAAAGCAUGGGGAGCAAACAGGAUUAGAUACCCCCGUAGUCCCUGUCUCUUAUAC
RNAcentral lists this ribosomal RNA (301 nucleotides) under uncultured bacterium. Its description in RNAcentral is "partial 16S ribosomal RNA". It matches the Rfam family "Bacterial small subunit ribosomal RNA", at positions 509 to 807 of the family's 1533-position model. The record is from RNAcentral.